RNAcentral lists this unclassified non-coding RNA (240 nucleotides) under soil metagenome. RNAcentral's name for it is "partial contains 5.8S ribosomal RNA, internal transcribed spacer 2, and large subunit ribosomal RNA". The record is from RNAcentral.
AACCUUAUGGACCUGCGGGCGUAUACCUGCGGAAGGAUCAUUACAGAGUUAUCCAACUCCCAAACCCAUGUGAACUUAUCUCUUUGUUGCCUCGGCGCAAGCUACCCGGGACCCCGCGCCCCGGGCGGCCCGCCGGCGGACAAACCAAAACUCUUGUUAUCUUAGUUGAUUCUCUGAGCGUCUUAUUUAAUAAGUCAAAACUUUCAACAACGGAUCUCAGAUCGGAGAGCACACGUCUGA